Capsicum annuum is the source of this 424-nucleotide long non-coding RNA. RefSeq lists it as uncharacterized. The record is from RefSeq and is a predicted model, not a curated record. The transcript has 3 exons. Lineage: Eukaryota; Viridiplantae; Streptophyta; Magnoliopsida; Solanales; Solanaceae.
GGAAUGUGAAUAAGGAGCAAAUAACAUGAUCGAAUAUCUUCGGGAUUUGAUUUCUAAAAGCAAGGCUGGUGAUAAGUAUGGAAGUUACAUCCUAGAUUUUGCUGAUGACUUCGACUAUACUGAUCCAUGGUUGUUUCAGUAUGAAGGCAAACAAGGUAGCUUGAUCUAUGAAAUUGAACUGCAACUGCAGUAUGGAAUCAAACAUAGACCCUUGAGUAAUUGGCUUUCCUUUUUUGUCUAUCUGUGACUAUAUCGACAGAAGCAAUCGAACGUGUCUACUGCUGGAAGAAUGAAGGAAAAAACUUAGAGGUCAUUUGGUAGAGUGUAUAAGAACAAUACAAAAUAUAGUGUAUUAGUAAUGCUUGCAUUAGUAUUACUUGUAUUAGUUAUGCAUGUAUUAUUUCUUAUACAUUGUCUGGUUUGA